UGAGCUUGAUCCUGGCUCAGGAUGAACGCUAGCGGCAGGCUUAACACAUGCAAGUCGAGGGGUAGAGCUCUUCGGAGCUAGAGACCGGCGCACGGGUGCGUAACGCGUAUGCAAUCUGCCUUUCACAGAGGGAUAGCCCAGAGAAAUUUGGAUUAAUACCUCAUAGUAUUAUGACUUGGCAUCGAGAUGUAAUUAAAGUCACAACGGUGAAAGAUGAGCAUGCGUCCCAUUAGCUAGUUGGUAAGGUAACGGCUUACCAAGGCAACGAUGGGUAGGGGUCCUGAGAGGGAGAUCCCCCACACUGGUACUGAGACACGGACCAGACUCCUACGGGAGGCAGCAGUGAGGAAUAUUGGACAAUGGGCGCAAGCCUGAUCCAGCCAUGCCGCGUGCAGGAUGACGGUCCUAUGGAUUGUAAACUGCUUUUGUACGAGAAGAAACACUCCUAUGUAUAGGAGCUGA
RNAcentral lists this ribosomal RNA (462 nucleotides) under Aeromonas sp. 01WB02.1-4. RNAcentral describes it as "bacterial SSU rRNA". It matches the Rfam family "Bacterial small subunit ribosomal RNA", at positions 1 to 472 of the family's 1533-position model. The record is from RNAcentral. Lineage: Bacteria; Pseudomonadati; Pseudomonadota; Gammaproteobacteria; Aeromonadales; Aeromonadaceae.